AUCAGAGCCUAGGCGUAUACAAUUUGCUAACUGUGUGCAACAAUUGCAAUUGAAAGAUAGGAAAUUGAUUCGUGAUUGUAAAACUAGAUGGAACUCAACUUUUGAGAUGUUAAGUUGUGCACUCAAGUUCAAAGAAGCUUUCAAGAUGCUAAAAGAUCGUGAUCCUUUCUAUGAGAGUUGUCCAUUGGAAGAUGAUUGGGACAAGGUUGUCAAAGUUUGCUCAAUUUUAGAGACUUUCUGGACAGCUACUCACAUUAUUUCAGGUUCUGAGUAUCCUACUUCAAAUUUGUUUCUUCAAGAAGUUCAAAAAAUCAAAUCAACAUUGGAUAGUCAUGUAGAUGAU
Molecule: long non-coding RNA, 343 nt
Organism: Ipomoea nil (Japanese morning glory)
Lineage: Eukaryota; Viridiplantae; Streptophyta; Magnoliopsida; Solanales; Convolvulaceae
Exons: 3
Source: RefSeq, a predicted model, not a curated record